RNAcentral lists this transfer RNA (59 nucleotides) under Ictidomys tridecemlineatus (thirteen-lined ground squirrel). Its description in RNAcentral is "Spermophilus tridecemlineatus (thirteen-lined ground squirrel) tRNA". It matches the Rfam family "tRNA", at positions 7 to 64 of the family's 71-position model. From Rfam's summary of the family: Transfer RNA (tRNA) molecules are approximately 80 nucleotides in length. Their secondary structure includes four short double-helical elements and three loops (D, anti-codon, and T loops). Further hydrogen bonds mediate the characteristic L-shaped molecular structure. tRNAs have two regions of fundamental functional importance: the anti-codon, which is responsible for specific mRNA codon recognition, and the 3' end, to which the tRNAs corresponding amino acid is attached (by aminoacyl-tRNA synthetases). tRNAs cope with the degeneracy of the genetic code in two manners: having more than one tRNA (with a specific anti-codon) for a particular amino acid; and 'wobble' base-pairing, i.e. permitting non-standard base-pairing at the 3rd anti-codon position. Lineage: Eukaryota; Metazoa; Chordata; Mammalia; Rodentia; Sciuridae. The record is from Rfam by way of RNAcentral.
GUUGCUCAGUGGUAGAGUACUUGCUUAGCAAGUGUGAGGACCUGGGUUCAAUCCCCAGC